CCAUGCAAGUCGAACGAUGACUAUCUAGCUUGCUAGAUAAGAUUAGUGGCGGACGGGUGAGUAACAUUUAGGAAUCUGCCUAGUAGUGGGGGAUAGCUCGGGGAAACUCGAAUUAAUACCGCAUACGACCUACGGGUGAAAGGGGGCGCAAGCUCUUGCUAUUAGAUGAGCCUAAAUCAGAUUAGCUAGUUGGUGGGGUAAAGGCCCACCAAGGCGACGAUCUGUAACUGGUCUGAGAGGAUGAUCAGUCACACCGGAACUGAGACACGGUCCGGACUCCUACGGGAGGCAGCAGUGGGGAAUAUUGGACAAUGGGGGCAACCCUGAUCCAGCCAUGCCGCGUGUGUGAAGAAGGCCUUUUGGUUGUAAAGCACUUUAAGCAGGGAGGAGAGGCUAAUGGUUAAUACCCAUUAGAUUAGACGUUACCUGCAGAAUAAGCACCGGCUAACUCUGUGCCAGCAGCCGCGGUAAUACAGAGGGUGCGAGCGUUAAUCGGAAUUACUGGGCGUAAAGCGAGUGUAGGUGGCUCAUUAAGUCACAUGUGAAAUCCCCGGGCUUAACCUGGGAACUGCAUGUGAUACUGGUGGUGCUAGAAUAUGUGAGAGGGAAGUAGAAUUCCAGGUGUAGCGGUGAAAUGCGUAGAGAUCUGGAGGAAUACCGAUGGCGAAGGCAGCUUCCUGGCAUAAUAUUGACACUGAGAUUCGAAAGCGUGGGUAGCAAACAGGAUUAGAUACCCUGGUAGUCCACGCCGUAAACGAUGUCUACUAGCCGUUGGGGUCCUUGAGACUUUAGUGGCGCAGUUAACGCGAUAAGUAGACCGCCUGGGGAGUACGGCCGCAAGGUUAAAACUCAAAUGAAUUGACGGGGGCCCGCACAAGCGGUGGAGCAUGUGGUUUAAUUCGAUGCAACGCGAAGAACCUUACCUGGUCUUGACAUAGUGAGAAUCCUGCAGAGAUGCGGGAGUGCCUUCGGGAAUUCACAUACAGGUGCUGCAUGGCUGUCGUCAGCUCGUGUCGUGAGAUGUUGGGUUAAGUCCCGCAACGAGCGCAACCCUUUUCCUUAUUUGCCAGCGGGUUAAGCCGGGAACUUUAAGGAUACUGCCAGUGACAAACUGGAGGAAGGCGGGGACGACGUCAAGUCAUCAUGGCCCUUACGACCAGGGCUACACACGUGCUACAAUGGUAGGUACAGAGGGUUGCUACACAGCGAUGUGAUGCUAAUCUCAAAAAGCCUAUCGUAGUCCGGAUUGGAGUCUGCAACUCGACUCCAUGAAGUCGGAAUCGCUAGUAAUCGCAGAUCAGAAUGCUGCGGUGAAUACGUUCCCGGGCCUUGUACACACCGCCCGUCACACCAUGGGAGUCUAUUGCACCAGAAGUAGGUAGCCUAACGCAAGAGGGCGCUU
RNAcentral lists this ribosomal RNA (1402 nucleotides) under Moraxella sp. Its description in RNAcentral is "bacterial SSU rRNA". It matches the Rfam family "Bacterial small subunit ribosomal RNA". The record is from RNAcentral. Lineage: Bacteria; Pseudomonadati; Pseudomonadota; Gammaproteobacteria; Moraxellales; Moraxellaceae.